CGUCGGGCAAUCGCUCCUCUCCGUAUUGACGGAGGGGUGAGGAAAGUCCGGACACCUGCGGGCAACCGUGCUUCCUAACAGGAAGGCGUUCGUUUCGUAAGGAACGAACGACAACCAGUGCCACAGAAAACAGACCGCUUCCGGCUUAUGUUGGGAGUAAGGGUGAAACGGUGAGGUAAAAGCUCACCACUCGCACGGGCGACCGUCGGGGUUACGGCAAACUUCACGGGGUGCAAGAUCAUGCAGACAGCUCAUGCGCCGCUCGCCGCUAUGCUGUCGGGUGGAUCGCUAGAGCCCCGAAGUAAUUCGGGGACCAGAUAAAUGAUUGCCAUCCCGGACUUUACGGGACACAGAAUCCGGCUUACAGACGCUUUC
This 375-nucleotide RNase P RNA is filed under the name marine eukaryotic metagenome. RNAcentral describes it as "Bacterial RNase P class A". It matches the Rfam family "Bacterial RNase P class A". From Rfam's summary of the family: Ribonuclease P (RNase P) is a ubiquitous endoribonuclease, found in archaea, bacteria and eukarya as well as chloroplasts and mitochondria. The record is from RNAcentral.